UACGGAGGGUGCAAGCGUUAUCCGGAUUCACUGGGUUUAAAGGGAGCGUAGGUGGACUAGUAAGUCAGUGGUGAAAUCUUUGGGCUUAACCCGAAAACUGCCAUUGAUACUAUUAGUCUUGAAUAUUGUGGAGGUCAGCGGAAUAUGUCAUGUAGCGGUGAAAUGCUUAGAUAUGACAUAGAACACCAAUUGCGAAGGCAGCUGGCUACGCAUAUAUUGACACUCAGGCUCGAAAGCGUGGGGAUCAAACAGU
This 253-nucleotide ribosomal RNA is filed under the name uncultured bacterium. Its description in RNAcentral is "partial 16S ribosomal RNA". It matches the Rfam family "Bacterial small subunit ribosomal RNA", at positions 524 to 776 of the family's 1533-position model. The record is from RNAcentral.